RNAcentral lists this ribosomal RNA (254 nucleotides) under uncultured bacterium. Its description in RNAcentral is "partial 16S ribosomal RNA". It matches the Rfam family "Bacterial small subunit ribosomal RNA", at positions 524 to 776 of the family's 1533-position model. The record is from RNAcentral.
GACAGAGGGUGCAAACGUUGUUCGGAAUUACUGGGCGUAAAGCGCGUGUAGGCUGUUCGGAAAGUCGGAUGUGAAAGCCCUGGGCUUAACCCAGGAAGUGCAUUCGAAACUCCCGAACUCGAGUCCUGGAGAGGAAGGCGGAAUUCUCGGUGUAGAGGUGAAAUUCGUAGAUAUCGAGAGGAACAUCGGUGGCGAAGGCGGCCUUCUGGACCAUUUACUGACGCUGAGGCGCGAAAGCUAGGGGAGCAAACGGG